Long non-coding RNA from Lolium rigidum, 393 nucleotides. RefSeq lists it as uncharacterized. NCBI's taxonomy places the organism in Eukaryota, Viridiplantae, Streptophyta, Magnoliopsida, Poales, Poaceae. The record is from RefSeq and is a predicted model, not a curated record. The transcript is spliced from 2 exons.
CAGUGGCUGCUUCUUGGUGGCCGCCGCCAUGAGGAAGCGUAGGCAGGGAAUGGUGGAUGCUAUGGUGUUCCGAUGGAUGGAUGCUGGCCCUGUGGUCGUGUGGUUUAUUCUGAUGGUGUUUGUGAUCGAGAGAUGAGCAGGUUUGUGGAUCGACGGAGUUAAUCGAAGUGGCUGCAUAGAGACGCCUAGGAAAGGGAUCUUUGUAAUUGCGCUAUGAAGUAAACAAAGAACGAAUGCUUGUUGCCUGUGCUAUCGUCGCAGCCAAGCCACCUCUCCGGAUCGAUAUGGACGGUAAAAUGCUUUCAAUUGGCUCAAGCAUCUCUCUGUACAUGUCGAACCUUAAACCCCGUCUGGUAUGUACAUAUAAGUAAUCUUUUUCACCUUUCUUUUCAA